RNAcentral lists this ribosomal RNA (465 nucleotides) under uncultured bacterium. Its description in RNAcentral is "partial 16S ribosomal RNA". It matches the Rfam family "Bacterial small subunit ribosomal RNA", at positions 339 to 795 of the family's 1533-position model. The record is from RNAcentral.
CUACGGGCGGCACCAGUGGGGAAUAUUGGACAAUGGGGGAAACCCUGAUCCAGCAAUGCCGCGUGUGUGAAGAAGGCCUGCGGGUUGUAAAGCACUUUCGGUUGGGAGGACUGCUUCUAGCACUAAUAUUGUUGGAAGUUGACGUUACCUUCAGAAGAAGCACCGGCUAACUCCGUGCCAGCAGCCGCGGUAAUACGGAGGGUGCAAGCGUUAAUCGGAAUUACUGGGCGUAAAGCGCGCGUAGGCGGCUAGAUCAGUCGGGUGUGAAAGCCCCGGGCUUAACCUGGGAACUGCAUCCGAUACUGUCUAGCUUGAGUACAGGAGAGGAGAGUGGAAUUCCACAUGUAGCGGUGAAAUGCGUAGAUAUGUGGAGGAACACCAAUGGCAAAGACAGCUCUCUGGCCUGAUACUGACGCUAAGGUGCGAAAGCGUGGGAAGCAAACAGGAUUAGAUACCCCCGUAGUC